This 494-nucleotide ribosomal RNA is filed under the name uncultured bacterium. RNAcentral's name for it is "partial 16S ribosomal RNA". It matches the Rfam family "Bacterial small subunit ribosomal RNA", at positions 28 to 507 of the family's 1533-position model. The record is from RNAcentral.
GACGAACGCUGGCGGCGUGCUUAACACAUGCAAGUCGAACGGAAAGGCCUGCUUUCCCCUGUGGAUUGCGGGUACUCGAGUGGCGAACGGGUGAGUAACACGUGAGUGAUCUGCCCCCAACUUGGGUAUAAGCCUGGGAAACUGGGUCUAAUUCCCGAUAGGACUGCAGGGUGGUGCCUGUGGUGGAAAACGAUUUUCUAGUGGUUGGGGAUGAGCUCGCGGCCUAUCAGCUUGUUGGUGGGGUAAUGGCCUACCAAGGCGGCGACGGGUAGCCGGCCUGAGAGGGUGGACGGCCACAUUGGGACUGAGAUACGGCCCAGACUCCUACGGGAGGCAGCAGUGGGGAAUAUUGCACAAUGGGCGGAAGCCUGAUGCAGCGACGCCGCGUGGGGGAUGACGGCCUUCGGGUGGUAAACUCCUUUCGACCGCGAGGAAGCCACCUGGUUGGAAGGGUGGUGACGGUAGUGGUAGAAGAAGCACCGGCUAACUACGUG